CGGACUAUAUUACACAGUGAGGACGGACUAUAUUACACAGUGAGGACGGACUAUAUUACACAGUGAGGACGGACUAUAUUACACAGUGAGGACGGACUAUAUUACACAGUGAGGACGGACUAUAUGACACAGUGAGGACGGACUAUAUGACACAGUGAGGACGGACUAUAUGACACAGUGAGGACGGACUAUAUGACACAAUGAGGACGGACUAUAUGACACAGUGAGGACGGACUAUAUGACACAGUGAGGACGGACUAUAUGACACAUGAGGGACGGACUAUAUUACACAGUGAGGAC
Molecule: long non-coding RNA, 300 nt
Filed under: Salmo salar (Atlantic salmon)
Lineage: Eukaryota; Metazoa; Chordata; Actinopteri; Salmoniformes; Salmonidae
Description: lncRNA (ENSSSAG00000085448.1)
Source: RNAcentral